This 395-nucleotide ribosomal RNA is filed under the name uncultured bacterium. RNAcentral describes it as "partial 16S ribosomal RNA". It matches the Rfam family "Bacterial small subunit ribosomal RNA", at positions 338 to 730 of the family's 1533-position model. The record is from RNAcentral.
CCUACGGGAGGCAGCAGUGAGGAAUAUUGGUCAAUGGACGCAAGUCUGAACCAGCCAUGCCGCGUGCAGGAAGACGGCCCUAUGAGUUGUAAACUGCUUUUGUACGAGGGUAAACGCAGAUACGCGUAUCUGUCUGAAAGUACCGUACGAAUAAGGAUCGGCUAACUCCGUGCCAGCAGCCGCGGUAAUACGGAGGAUUCAAGCGUUAUCCGGAUUUAUUGGGUUUAAAGGGUGCGUAGGGGGUCGGCUAAGUUAGAGGUGAAAUUCCGGGGCUCAACUUCGGAAUUGCCUCUGAUACUGUGCGCCUAGAGAGGAGUAGCGGUACGCGGAAUGUAUGGUGUAGCGGUGAAAUGCUUAGAGAUCAUACAGAACACCGAUUGCGAAGGCAGCGUACC